This 460-nucleotide ribosomal RNA is filed under the name uncultured bacterium. RNAcentral describes it as "partial 16S ribosomal RNA". It matches the Rfam family "Bacterial small subunit ribosomal RNA", at positions 338 to 795 of the family's 1533-position model. The record is from RNAcentral.
CCUACGGGCGGCAGCAGUGAGGAAUAUUGGUCAAUGGACGCGAGCCUGAACCAGCCAAGUAGCGUGAAGGAUGACUGCCCUACGGGUUGUAAACUUCUUUUAUAUAGGAAUAAAAUGAGCCACGUGUGCCUUUUUGUAUGUACUUUAUGAAUAAGGAUCGGCUAACUCCGUGCCAGCAGCCGCGGUAAUACGGAGGAUCCGAGCGUUAUCCGGAUUUAUUGGGUUUAAAGGGAGCGUAGGUGGGUUGUUAAGUCAGUUGUGAAAGUUUGCGGCUCAACCGUAAAAUUGCAAUUGAUACUGGCAGCCUUGAGUACAGUUGAGGUAGGCGGAAUUCGUGGUGUAGCGGUGAAAUGCUUAGAUAUCACGAAGAACUCCGAUUGCGAAGGCAGCUUACUAAACUGCCACUGACAUUGAUGCUCGAAAGUGUGGGUAUCAAACAGGAUUAGAUACCCUGGUAGUC